This 656-nucleotide ribosomal RNA is filed under the name Streptomyces sp. YIM 56064. RNAcentral describes it as "bacterial SSU rRNA". It matches the Rfam family "Bacterial small subunit ribosomal RNA", at positions 56 to 730 of the family's 1533-position model. The record is from RNAcentral. Lineage: Bacteria; Bacillati; Actinomycetota; Actinomycetes; Kitasatosporales; Streptomycetaceae.
UGCAGUCGAACGAUGAAGCCUUUCGGGGUGGAUUAGUGGCGAACGGGUGAGUAACACGUGGGCAAUCUGCCCUUCACUCUGGGACAAGCCCUGGAAACGGGGUCUAAUACCGGAUAACACUCUGUCCUGCAUGGGACGGGGUUAAAAGCUCCGGCGGUGAAGGAUGAGCCCGCGGCCUAUCAGCUUGUUGGUGGGGUAAUGGCCUACCAAGGCGACGACGGGUAGCCGGCCUGAGAGGGCGACCGGCCACACUGGGACUGAGACACGGCCCAGACUCCUACGGGAGGCAGCAGUGGGGAAUAUUGCACAAUGGGCGAAAGCCUGAUGCAGCGACGCCGCGUGAGGGAUGACGGCCUUCGGGUUGUAAACCUCUUUCAGCAGGGAAGAAGCGAAAGUGACGGUACCUGCAGAAGAAGCGCCGGCUAACUACGUGCCAGCAGCCGCGGUAAUACGUAGGGCGCAAGCGUUGUCCGGAAUUAUUGGGCGUAAAGAGCUCGUAGGCGGCUUGUCACGUCGGAUGUGAAAGCCCGGGGCUUAACCCCGGGUCUGCAUUCGAUACGGGCUAGCUAGAGUGUGGUAGGGGAGAUCGGAAUUCCUGGUGUAGCGGUGAAAUGCGCAGAUAUCAGGAGGAACACCGGUGGCGAAGGCGGAUCUCU